RNAcentral lists this long non-coding RNA (1502 nucleotides) under Homo sapiens (human). Its description in RNAcentral is "non-protein coding lnc-CMTR1-15:1". The record is from RNAcentral. Lineage: Eukaryota; Metazoa; Chordata; Mammalia; Primates; Hominidae.
GCAGACAAUAGUGACCUGCGUGGUGUCAGGGAGGAUGCAAGCACCCCAGGUACCCCACUGAGGUCCUUUCAUCCCCCUGGCACAUACAGAGACCCAGCCUGGAUUCCCAUGGAGGCUGUUUGCUGAGCCUUAGAGCAGCUUGACUUGCCUCCAUGUUGGAAAUUCUGCCCAUGAGCAGAUGGAUUACUGUGGGCCAGCUGUCUGUCUGUCUGUCUUUAUUACCCCAGGGAGCUGUGGUUCUGAACCUCCUAUUGGGGGUUUUAGAACUAAGUGUUUCAGGAAAGUCGAAUGCUGCAUUGACAGACAGGAGAACUGGAGUCGUUCCUGGCUAGCCCAAGUUCUCACUGCAUGACCUUGGGCAGGUCAAGCCUCCUCUUUGGCUCUUAAUUUUGUCUGCUCAAUGGGUACAGUGGGGAGAACGAGACAGUCACCCUAGGUUCCUGUUUUUCAUGACCUUGUUAUUUGUAAGACAUAACGAGGAAGACAUAAAGCUUCCUUGUUAGCUGUAAGGGAGACAUAUAAAGUAAGAACUAACGAUUACCUCAAGAUCUCUUUAAUCUAGUUAGAGAGACAGACUGACAACAUGAAAUAGUGCAUGCCAGACAUCAUAUAAUUAAAUGCCAGCUGUCUGGUACUCACUGUUGAUGCAUUAGGAGUGCAGAAACAAGAGAAUGGGGUGGGUAUUUGGGGAUGGCUUUGUGGAGGCUCUGGGUCCAGGAGGACAGAUGAGAUUGCGUCAGGCAAAGAUGCAGGAGAGGGCAUCCCAAGUGGGAACCCACAGGGCUUCCUGUGCCAAGGAGGGGCGCCCUUUCCAACUUUGCAUGAAAGCAAUUUAUACGCUAGCCACAUCCCUGACUUAUUUGUCCUAGAGACCCUGGGAGACCAUUUCCUCUAUCCCAUGCCUCCUUCUGGGUUUGCCUCAGCUGUGGGGCCCAGUGUUGGGUCCCCAUCGCUGCCCAAAGGGAAGCUUUUCAGAGCAAGAAUGAGGGAGAGUGGCAUUGCUCACUGUCAGAAGCAUUUCAGGCAGGAAAUGAAGAAUUUUUUAGGUGGCUAAAAAUACUGUGAAAGCUGAUUUAUGUUUGCAUUUUGUUCCAGGACAGCAGAUUAUAGCCCAAGUUCUGAGGCAAAGGCAGCAGCGCCUUUAUGGCCUGCUUGGAACAGUUUUAUGUCUUAGUGAGUUUUAUACAUUUCAGCUAAGCCAAGAUGCUAGAACUUUUUUGUCCAUAUAUUUCACUGGGGAAAACUCACAUACCACUCCUUGCACCCAACCUCAUGUUACCAUGCAAAAAGAAAGAAAAGGAAGGAAGGAAGGGGAAAAGAAUGUGCUUGCUAUUUAGUUGGUAUCCAGUUUUUAGUUAACGUAAAUCAAAUUGUAGACAGUGAAUCCACAUGAAACUGAAUUAGACAGCCAGUGACAUGAAAACCAAAGGAUCUCUAUAUAUUGUUGAAUAUGCAGACCACUCCACCCUGCAGCAUCUUUUUUUUUUUUUUUUUUUUUUCUG